Molecule: ribosomal RNA, 182 nt
Filed under: Escherichia coli
Lineage: Bacteria; Pseudomonadati; Pseudomonadota; Gammaproteobacteria; Enterobacterales; Enterobacteriaceae
Description: partial 16S ribosomal RNA
Rfam family: Bacterial small subunit ribosomal RNA
Source: RNAcentral
AAAUUGAAGAGUUUGAUCAUGGCUCAGAUUGAACGCUGGCGGCAGGCCUAACACAUGCAAGUCGAACGGUAACAGAAAUCAGCUUGCUGAUUUGCUGACGAGUGGCGGACGGGUGAGUAAUGUCUGGGAAACUGCCUGAUGGAGGGGGAUAACUACUGGAAACGGUAGCUAAUACCGCAUAA